GCCUGGCUGGCUCAGCAGGUUAAGCUUCCGACUUCGGCUCAGGUCAUGAUCUAACAGUUCAUGGGUUCGAGCCCCGUGUCGGGCU
Molecule: transfer RNA, 85 nt
Organism: Felis catus (domestic cat)
Lineage: Eukaryota; Metazoa; Chordata; Mammalia; Carnivora; Felidae
Rfam family: tRNA
About the family: Transfer RNA (tRNA) molecules are approximately 80 nucleotides in length. Their secondary structure includes four short double-helical elements and three loops (D, anti-codon, and T loops).
Source: Rfam